CCUGCUGGCCAUGCUUCUUUUGAUGCAGCCCAGGAUAUAGUUGGCUUUCUGGGCUGCAAGGACAUGUUGCUCACAUCCAACAUCAUCAUGUCCAGCUUCCAAUCCACCUGUAGUCCCAGGUAGACAUGGCUGUGCUCAAUCCUUUCAUCUCCCAGCUUGCACUAACAGUGGAUGUUGCCACAACCCAGGUGCAAGACUUUGCGCUUCGCUGCGUGAAGAUUCUCUUCAUAAGGUUCUAUGACAUCAGCAGUUCUUCCUUUGUCCACUCAUGCAGCUUUGACAUCAUAGAAAGCCACUAUGUUGAUCAGGUAGGACCUGCCCUUGGUGAAGCCUUGCUGGAUGAUCGCUAUCACCUCCCUGUCUUCCAUGUGCCUUAGCAUAGCUUCCAGAGAAGAUCUACAGUUUGUCCCCACAGGACAUCGCUCAUGAAGGACAGUGUGGUCACCAGCUCCUGUGGUUUUUCAGUGGGUCAUUCAGUGGGACUUUCAAUUCCCAUGGGCACCUUGGAACAUCCCAUUGGUCUUUUGUCUUCAUUGGGCCACACAGUCUCUGAUUGCUGCCCAAAUGGGUAGGAAGGCAGGAAGGCAACAAGCCAAGAAGUUGCAAGAAGAGAUGAGAAGUAGUGAAGGUUUUGUUGAGCUGUGCCUCCCAUGCAUGGCCUGCCCCUCUCUAGAUGGUGUUUUGGCACCAGGGAUAUCGAGGGGGGGUGCUGUAUUCUAAAGAAAUGCAUCCUUUUUUCUUCUUCUUCUUUUAUUUUUUUUCUUCUCUGGUCAAUAAAGCUGCAGUUUGACUUUAGGGUGAA
Molecule: non-coding RNA, 802 nt
Organism: Coturnix japonica (Japanese quail)
Lineage: Eukaryota; Metazoa; Chordata; Aves; Galliformes; Phasianidae
Source: RefSeq, a predicted model, not a curated record